UAGGGAAUCUUCCACAAUGGACGCAAGUCUGAUGGAGCAACGCCGCGUGAGUGAAGAAGGUUUUCGGAUCGUAAAGCUCUGUUGUUGGUGAAGAAGGAUAGAGGCAGUAACUGGUCUUUAUAUGAUGGUAAUAAAACAGAAAGUCACGGCUAACUUCGUGCCAGCAGCCGCGGUAAUACGUAGGUGGCAAGCGUUGUCCGGAUUUAUUGGGCGUAAAGCGAGCGCAGGCGGAAUGAUAAGUCUGAUGUGAACAACCACGGCUCAACAGUGUGAGUGCAGCGGGUAAUGUCAUUCUGGAGGGCGGAAGAGGAGAGUGGAAUUCCCUGUGUAGCGGUGGAAUGCGUAGAUAUAUGGAGGAGGACCAGUGGCGAAGACGGCUCUCUGGUCUGCAACUGACGCUGAGGAUCGAAAGCAUGGGUAGCGAACAGG
Molecule: ribosomal RNA, 429 nt
Filed under: bacterium
Lineage: Bacteria
Description: partial 16S ribosomal RNA
Rfam family: Bacterial small subunit ribosomal RNA
Source: RNAcentral